RNAcentral lists this ribosomal RNA (253 nucleotides) under uncultured bacterium. RNAcentral describes it as "partial 16S ribosomal RNA". It matches the Rfam family "Bacterial small subunit ribosomal RNA", at positions 524 to 776 of the family's 1533-position model. The record is from RNAcentral.
UACGAAGGGGGCUAGCGUUGUUCGGAAUCACUGGGCUUAAAGGGCGCGUAGGCGGCUUGCCAAGUCAGGGGUGAAAUCCUGCAGCUUAACUGUAGAAGGGCCUUUGAUACUGGCGAGCUCGAGGGAGGUAGGGGUAUGUGGAACUUCCGGUGGAGCGGUGAAAUGCGUUGAUAUCGGAAGGAACGCCGGUGGCGAAAGCGACGUACUGGACCUCUUCUGACGCUGAGGCGCGAAAGCUAGGGGAGCAAACGGG